This 550-nucleotide ribosomal RNA is filed under the name uncultured bacterium. Its description in RNAcentral is "bacterial SSU rRNA". It matches the Rfam family "Bacterial small subunit ribosomal RNA", at positions 36 to 580 of the family's 1533-position model. The record is from RNAcentral.
CUAGCGGCAGGCUUAAUACAUGCAAGUCGUAGGGCAUCCGAAGUAGCAAUACUUUGGUGAGAGUGGCGCACGGGUGCGUAACACGUAUGCAACCUACCUAUAACCGGGACAUAACCUCGAGAAAUUGAAGCUAAUAUCCCAUAACACUGCACUAAGGCAUCUUAGAGCAGUUAAAACUCCGGUGGUUAUAGAUGGGCAUGCGCGACAUUAGCUAGUUGGUGUGGUAACGGCUCACCAAGGCUACGAUGUCUAGGGGUUCUGAGAGGAUUAUCCCCCACACUGGUACUGAGACACGGACCAGACUCCUACGGGAGGCAGCAGUAAGGAAUAUUGGUCAAUGGGCGCAAGCCUGAACCAGCCAUGCCGCGUGAAGGAUGAAGGCCCUAUGGGUUGUAAACUUCUUUUGUACGGGAAAAAACCACCGGUCGUGUAUCGGUGCUGAUGGUACCGUAAGAAUAAGCAUCGGCUAACUCCGUGCCAGCAGCCGCGGUAAUACGGAGGAUGCAAGCGUUAUCCGGAUUCAUUGGGUUUAAAGGGUGCGCAGGCGGAA